This is a long non-coding RNA of Beta vulgaris subsp. vulgaris (sugar beet), 1351 nucleotides long. RefSeq lists it as uncharacterized. The record is from RefSeq and is a predicted model, not a curated record. The transcript has 4 exons. Lineage: Eukaryota; Viridiplantae; Streptophyta; Magnoliopsida; Caryophyllales; Amaranthaceae.
CUAUUCUUUGUGUAAUUGCUUUUACUAUUACUCAGGUUUUAUCUUUUUCACUUUUUUCCGCUUCUAUUAUUUUUUUGACCCUUGUAUGAGGUUUUUUUAGUUUGACUUGUAAAUAGAAUUUAGGUGUCCCUUAUUUGAACUUGUUAGGCCUAUCUAAACUAAUUUUCUUUAUCUAAUUUAUUUUUCUUUAUCCACUCUUACUUCCGGAAAGUGAAAAGAACAAGACGUUAAUCUUCCACAUGUAUAAAUGUGGAGAAUCAAAUGUGGAAAUAUAUCUACUAAACAGUUUAGAGAUCGAUGAGAGGUUGCUAAAUUGUAUAACAAGUACAGCUAAUGAGCCAUUCUUUUAAUCUCUUUAAAUGUAUGUGUCUUAAGUAAGGAAGGAGCUGCCACUGGGAGUCACCUGUUCCUACACUGUGAACUGUGAAGUUACUGCUUUUGGGUGAUAUAGUUCGUUUGAUAUUAGUGGGAGAGAUGAACCUGUCCAGUGACUAUGAGGAGAAUUAUAUUAGUGGAUGAACUAGUUUUUCUUCAUUUACUUCUGUGUUACUCGUGGACGAGUUCUGCUUGUCCCCUAGGGAACUCUUUAAUACAUGGAUAAAUAGAUCAUUUUGCUGCUUCACAUGCGUAGCUUUACUUUGGGUAGCUGUUAGCAAUUUGCUUCUGUACUCUUUUAUGCAAUUUUAUUCUUUUUAGACAGUAAUAUGGAUGAAGGUGAACACUUUAGGUGCAGAGCACAAGAAGUCUGCUAAGUUAAACACUAUAAAUCUCCAUUUAGCUUUUUUGAAGAAUGGGAGCCUGAAGCCAAAGAGGCUCCAUGUUUUGGUAUAAAAUCAGGAAAGGCUUCACAAUAUUAGAAUGUCGUAAACGUUAUAUCUUAUCGCGAGCUGCUAUUGCAUUCCGCAUUUUUAAAGCAAGAUUGAGAAAGGAGUGGUUGUACACUUCCAGGGGACAACUGGUGAAGACAAAACCAGGGUUAUAUCCAUGGAUCACUCAGGAAGACUAGGACCAAUUUCUUAAAACAUCAAUAGAUCCUAAGUUUAAGGAAUUAAGUGAAAAAAAUCGGAAAAAAGUGAAGGAUAAUAGAAAAUCAAGCUAUCGUGUUGAGGAAGAGAUUGCAAAGGACCUUGAGAAGAGAGGGAUAAAUGCGCAUAUAGUUCCUCGACAUUUGACCAGGCUUAGAGCUCAUUCUGAUGUCAAAGAUGGAACAAUGAUAUUUAAGAAUCCUAAUGAUUUAAAAAUCGCUGAAUCAAUUGUACGAAACUUUUAGCACAUUUUAUAAGUUAGAUUACUGUAAUUGUAAUAAUAUAAAUUAUAGUAACUUUAAUAUAUAAAAUUGUUCUUGGUUCUA